UGGGUAGAUGCAUGCACGUCCAUGAGAAAAAGGAACCCCGUUCAAUGGCCCCAUGGCCUCCCGUGUUAGCCAGCCCAGACCUGGCUUGUAGGGAAACAUCUGCUAGUGGAGGGUUGGGUGUCCCCAUGGGGUCCAUACUGCAGCACCACAGACCUCUCCCUGGCCUACAUGGGAUGUGUAUCUAGAGAUGUCCAUGCCCAUCCAGCCUGGGGGUGGCUCCAGAGAGAUGUACAGACAGCAGGCCUGAGGGGCUUGAGCUGGCCAGGGACCCCCCAGAACUGCCCAUGUCUUCCCACCAGGAAGUAAGCACCCCGCCUUGUCUCUCUUGAAACAGGUCUAGGAACAAGGCAGUCGUAACUGUGGGAAAUGUUGAUCGGAAGCAUGAUAGAGCCUGCAUUGCUCUGCAGGCCACCUGGAGAGUUCUGGACAGAAUAAACCCUACAGGCCAAUGUACCUGUGACAGCUACCCUCCCACACCAGACUCAAACUGAAAUACUGAGUUGGCCUUCAGACUAGAACUUAUACCAUCAGCUUUCCUGAAUCUCCAGCUUACCAACUGUGGAUCUUGGGACUUCUCAGCCUCCAUAAUCAUGCCAGGUCACUGGUGACUUUCCCAAAAAACCUCUUCAAAAAAUCUGGGAGUCUGGAGAUCCCCAAGCUGGGCCUCCCAUUCUGCAGUCUUGGCAAGCCUCACCAUGUCCUUGAGUAAUGCCUGUCCCUGAGAACCAUCACCCCCAAGGUCCACUGAGCCAACCUGAACAGCAGGGGGCAAAGGAGUUAAGGGCCUGGCCCUGCCCUGGCUCUGCCUCUUAACCCCAAGUGCCUACUUGUCCUGUGAGCUAUGCGCCCAUACUGCCUACCUCCCAGCUCCAACACAUGCAGUCCCUGGGCUUGUCACACCACAGACGUCCUGGACUCCCAGGACUCAUUUUUUAAGGCAUCUGAGUAUCCACAUUUCUCAGGAAUCAUUCUCAAAAAUCCCCAUUUCUCCCUAAUGAAUGCUCCUGGCAUCUACUGGUGGUCAUGAAAUGGGCCAAGUCACUGAAAGAACCAUUUGUCAACUCUGUCCUGACAACAUCACUGGGGCUGCAGGUAAGUGGAUGCCAGACUCCGGGGUCUGGGGUCUGGCCCAGCUCUGCUGAGGACUCCGGAGGGGACCUUCUCUGUGUAUAUCAGAAGGUAUCUGAGUUUCAGUUCCCACAAAGGCAGAUGCCAAGACAAGGAUUUGCUUCAAGGCGUCUUAUCUGGCAGGUGUUUGGGGGAGGCACAGUGAGUGAGGCAACAGAGGAGGACGGCUUGGGAUCCCAGAGAGCACUCGGGAACCGCAGAAAGUCUGGCUCCAGAGCCUGAAGACAUGACAUGGCUGUGCCCCUGUCUCUUGGCCAGUUAAACUCACAUGAAGAUCCGAGAUAUAACGGUGAAAAGCUCUGAUGCAGAGUCAGUGCUCUGGAAACAGCAGUUGCUAUGAUAAUAGUUUUGAGAACCCCUGUGAGGAUUAAAUAACACGCUGAGAUAGCCCAGUCCUGCAUCGUCUCA
This is a long non-coding RNA of Acinonyx jubatus (cheetah), 1536 nucleotides long. RefSeq lists it as uncharacterized. The transcript is spliced from 3 exons. Lineage: Eukaryota; Metazoa; Chordata; Mammalia; Carnivora; Felidae. The record is from RefSeq and is a predicted model, not a curated record.